UACGAAGGGGACUAGCGUUGUUCGGAAUCAUUGGGCGUAAAGCGCGCGUAGGCGGCCCGGUAAGUCCGCUGUGAAAGCCCAGGGCUCAACCCUGGAACGCCGGUGGAUACUGUCGGGCUAGAGUCCGGAAGAGGCGAGUGGAAUUCCUGGUGUAGCGGUGGAAUGCGCAGAUAUCAGGAGGAACACCGAUGGCGAAGGCAGCUCGCUGGGACGGUACUGACGCUGAGGCGCGAAAGCGUGGGGAGCGAACAGG
Molecule: ribosomal RNA, 253 nt
Filed under: uncultured bacterium
Lineage: Bacteria
Description: partial 16S ribosomal RNA
Rfam family: Bacterial small subunit ribosomal RNA
Source: RNAcentral